RNAcentral lists this ribosomal RNA (249 nucleotides) under uncultured bacterium. Its description in RNAcentral is "partial 16S ribosomal RNA". It matches the Rfam family "Bacterial small subunit ribosomal RNA", at positions 84 to 334 of the family's 1533-position model. The record is from RNAcentral.
UUUGAUGGCGACCGGCGCACGGGUGAGUAACACGUAUCCAACCUGCCCUUUACUCGGGGAUAGCCUUUCGAAAGAAAGAUUAAUACCCGAUAGCAUAAUGAUUCCGCAUGGUUUCAUUAUUAAAGGAUUCCGGUAAAGGAUGGGGAUGCGUUCCAUUAGGUUGUUGGUGAGGUAACGGCUCACCAAGCCUUCGAUGGAUAGGGGUUCUGAGAGGAAGGUCCCCCACAUUGGAACUGAGACACGGUCCAA